Molecule: ribosomal RNA, 253 nt
Filed under: uncultured bacterium
Lineage: Bacteria
Description: partial 16S ribosomal RNA
Rfam family: Bacterial small subunit ribosomal RNA
Source: RNAcentral
UACGAGGGGUCCUAGCGUUGUUCGGAAUCACUGGGCGUAAAGGGUGCGUAGGCGGCUUUACAAGUCAGGUGUGAAAUCCCAUGGCUUAACCAUGGAACUGCAUUUGAAACUGUAGAGCUUGAAUGUCAGAGAGGUGGGCAGAAUUCCUGGUGUAGUGGUGAAAUACGUAGAUAUCAGGAGGAACUCCGGCGGCGAAGGCGGCUCACUGGCUGAACAUUGACACUGAGGCACGAAAGCGUGGGGAUCAAACAGG